GAAGAUAAGUAUCGGUGUCAUCUACUGAUCCAAGAACCAGUUACCAAUGAUGGUACAAGAGGAUCCCGAAAAUGUACAGUUGUUGCAGGGUUGUGAAAAUUGAAACAACAUGUGUCUUUUUAAGUAGCACAAUCGGUGAAAAUCAACGUUUUUAUUUAGUUUUGAAGAGUUGUUAAUUUUUAACAUGAAAAGACGCGAUUGAUCCUCCAAUUGGAAGUUUAUCAAACUUUUCUUUUAAUUACCGACUUAAUUGAAACCAGAAACUAGACGAUGAAUGUUGGAUGGGGAUAGAAGAGACACAUAAGUAACUAGCUAAUCAUCUGAACGUGGUUAGGUCAUAGCUAUGACAAGAAUAGCGAAGACGUCUAUGACAUUAACGUGCAAGAGGUUCAGUUAGGAAGUUUGAAUAUGGAAAUUGGAAUACCAAGCUGCUUGCGCAAUAGCACCACAACAAAUAGGUAAUGAUAGUUUUUGGAUAAACAUGAUUUCAGUUUAGGCCUAAGAGUACUUUAACGGAUCGGCGGUCGAUGAAGACUGAUAAAUACAAUAAUAAGAGCAAUGAUCAAUCUCAGUGGCUGUUACAAUAAUUACUAUAAUAACCAGAAGGUUGGAAAGGAAGCCUGGAGGUAUGGAAUCAUCAAAUGACAAAUUGACAAGCCAUAGUCUUCAGUAGAAACAAGAUGUAA
Molecule: long non-coding RNA, 686 nt
Organism: Adelges cooleyi (spruce gall adelgid)
Lineage: Eukaryota; Metazoa; Arthropoda; Insecta; Hemiptera; Adelgidae
Exons: 3
Source: RefSeq, a predicted model, not a curated record